RNAcentral lists this ribosomal RNA (424 nucleotides) under Verrucomicrobiota bacterium. RNAcentral's name for it is "Verrucomicrobia bacterium partial 16S ribosomal RNA". It matches the Rfam family "Bacterial small subunit ribosomal RNA", at positions 355 to 776 of the family's 1533-position model. The record is from RNAcentral. Lineage: Bacteria; Pseudomonadati; Verrucomicrobiota. RNAcentral also lists the same sequence under 1 other name.
UGAGGAAUAUUGGUCAAUGGGCGAGAGCCUGAACCAGCCAAGUAGCGUGCAGGAUGACGGCCCUAUGGGUUGUAAACUGCUUUUAUGUGGGGAUAAAGUGCGUGACGUGUCAUGCAUUGCAGGUACCACAUGAAUAAGGACCGGCUAAUUCCGUGCCAGCAGCCGCGGUAAUACGGAAGGUCCGGGCGUUAUCCGGAUUUAUUGGGUUUAAAGGGAGCGUAGGCUGUCUAUUAAGCGUGUUGUGAAAUUUACCGGCUCAACCGGUGGCUUGCAGCGCGAACUGGUCGACUUCAGUAUGCAGGAAGUAGGCGGAAUUCAUGGUGUAGCGGUGAAAUGCUUAGAUAUCAUGACGAACUCCGAUUGCGCAGGCAGCUUACUGUAGCAUAACUGACGCUGAUGCUCGAAAGUGCGGGUAUCAAACAGG